CCUGGUUUCAUUUGGGGAGAACAGUCCUUGCUUCGUCGUGGGAUUUGGCGUGGAAGGCCGAAGGCUAUCGCGUGUGUAUCCAAACGGUGCGUUGGUGCCUCGGUUGCCAGAGGGGUUGCGUUGCCCUGUGGGAAGCUGCCAGCUGACUCGUGGGGUGGCUAGCUUUGUGGCAUUGUCUUUGGAUGCUAGCAGCGGAAUGUGGCGCGUUUGUGUUCGGAGCUCACAAUGGAUAGUGGCCUUGUAGAACCAUCUCCAGCCUAACGAUCUGCGGCUACUUGGAGAUUCUGUCCCUCGACCUCCCACGGCUUCGGUGGCUGCUGUUUUGUUUCGAUCCGGCUCACGCUCGGGAUUCGUCAACCCGGCGGGCUCUCGCUACCUUUGA
Engraulis encrasicolus (European anchovy) is the source of this 382-nucleotide long non-coding RNA. RefSeq lists it as uncharacterized. Lineage: Eukaryota; Metazoa; Chordata; Actinopteri; Clupeiformes; Engraulidae. The transcript has 4 exons. The record is from RefSeq and is a predicted model, not a curated record.